AUGCUGGACCCGCCGCUUGAGCUCGUGCUGGGGUCGGACGUGGAGUACAGCGAGGAGGCCGUCGGCGACCUGCUGGCCACGCUCACUCGGCUGCCCCGGCCGGACACCACCGUGCUGCUCGCGGGCGAGCUCCGCAACGGACCAUAUGUGGUGGUGCCGUGGUGGAGUGCUUCUUGGAAGGGGCCAUGGGGAGUUCGAGAUCGGGUGCGUGGAGCAGGCGCAGUGGCACCCCGACAUCCGCACCAACCGCGUCGCCAUCUUCAUCCUCCUCAAGAUUCAAUAAGACACCGCCGCCGCUCCCCGUCUCACUGCCAUAGCUGCUCUGCAGAAGUAAGUUAG
RNAcentral lists this ribosomal RNA (339 nucleotides) under Triticum aestivum (bread wheat). RNAcentral's name for it is "partial small subunit ribosomal RNA". The record is from RNAcentral. Lineage: Eukaryota; Viridiplantae; Streptophyta; Magnoliopsida; Poales; Poaceae.